RNAcentral lists this transfer RNA (70 nucleotides) under Anthrenus verbasci (variegated carpet beetle). Its description in RNAcentral is "tRNA-Val". RNAcentral also lists the same sequence under 1 other name. The record is from RNAcentral. Lineage: Eukaryota; Metazoa; Arthropoda; Insecta; Coleoptera; Dermestidae.
CAAAUUAGAGCUUGAUAUAAAGCAUCUUACUUACACUAAGAAGUUAAUUGUGAAAUUCAUUUUAAUUUGA